UCUACGUCGGCGACCGGCGCACGGGUGCGCAACGCGUAUGCAACCUACCCAUUACAGGGGGAUAACACUGAGAAAUCGGUACUAAUACCCCAUAACAUCCAGGGAGGCAUCUUCUUGGGUUGAAAACUCCGGUGGUAAUGGAUGGGCAUGCGUUGUAUUAGUUAGUUGGUGGGGUAACGGCUCACCAAGACAACGAUACAUAGGGGGACUGAGAGGUUAACCCCCCACAUUGGUACUGAGACACGGACCAAACUCCUACGGAAGGCAGCAG
RNAcentral lists this ribosomal RNA (271 nucleotides) under uncultured bacterium. Its description in RNAcentral is "partial 16S ribosomal RNA". It matches the Rfam family "Bacterial small subunit ribosomal RNA", at positions 82 to 354 of the family's 1533-position model. The record is from RNAcentral.